UACGUAGGGACCAAGCGUUGUUCGGAUUUACUGGGCGUAAAGGGCGCGUAGGCGGCUUGACAAGUCACUUGUGAAAUCUCUGAGCUUAACUCAGAACGGCCAAGUGAUACUGUCGCGCUAGAGUGCAGAAAGGGCAAUCGGAAUUCUUGGUGUAGCGGUGAAAUGCGUAGAUAUCAAGAGGAACCCCUGAGGCGAAGGCGGGUUGCUAGGCUGACACUGACGCUGAGUGCGCGAAAGCCAGGGGAGCAAACGGG
This 254-nucleotide ribosomal RNA is filed under the name uncultured bacterium. Its description in RNAcentral is "partial 16S ribosomal RNA". It matches the Rfam family "Bacterial small subunit ribosomal RNA", at positions 524 to 776 of the family's 1533-position model. The record is from RNAcentral.